GCCAACAUGGCAUAGUGGUUUGAGUGUUAGACUAUUACUCUGGAGACCAGGGUUUGAUUCUCCGCUUGGCC
Non-coding RNA from Phrynosoma platyrhinos (Desert horned lizard), 71 nucleotides. The record is from the annotation of a GenBank genome assembly. NCBI's taxonomy places the organism in Eukaryota, Metazoa, Chordata, Lepidosauria, Squamata, Phrynosomatidae.